CAUGACUAGGCAUGAUGGGAAUUGUAGUUCCUGAACAACUGGAGGGCCGUAGUUUGAAGACCCAUGAAAUACACAUUGUGGAGAAUUCCUGGGAAAAGUAAACCUGUCAGAAACCUGGAAAUUGAUUUCAGGGAAAACCAUGUCAAAAUGACUAGUGGAUUCAAAAAUAAUGACUACUAAUGAGCAAAUUUCUACUUUUCCUAUAAAAGUAAAGACCUAAAGUACAUAUUCUUAACAAGCAAUGAAAGAGCUUUAUUAUGAGUCAUUCCUGAUCCCUAUAGCGACGUUUAAUGUGAAUGUAUAGGUCUCAUUCAUACAGGUGCUGAGGCCCAUAGAUUGUGAAUGGCCCUGAAAUCAGACAGUGUGCAUUCAGGGCCACUCACUCGUACCUACACGCCUGUCAGAUUGGUACGAGAAGCUGUGUCUGUGAAGCUACUAAGUCCCCAAACAAUUACAUGGACUGCCUUCACACUGUACCUGGCAGCUUAAGCCACAUAAAGAAAUGGCCCAUUCAGGCCUACGAAUUCAGCACCCAUAUGAAUGAGGCCAUACACUCUCAUGGACCAUACCAUUUACUCAAGAAGGGUUUUAGUGCUCCUUUUGCUUAGGAAUUCUUGCACAUGGGGCCAUCUAGGAGCAGUGUGUCCCUCUGUCUUUUAGUGCUCCCGAGAGGGACAGCCCCAAACACAGGCAGCCUGUCAGUCUAUGGCAGGCUGUGGUUGGAUGGUGCUGAAUGCUAUACGGAGUGGUACAUGUGUUUAGGGCGCUUUAUGUUCAGAGACAAAGUUACUCUAAUUAAUAGGCCCAUAGCAGAAUUGUAAAAAAUGUCCUGGUCCAUUAAAGGGGCAAAGGAUGAAGUGAAAAUAGUGAAAUUCCGCACCAUACAAUAAAAAUUAAAUUAA
This is a long non-coding RNA of Rana temporaria (common frog), 902 nucleotides long. RefSeq lists it as uncharacterized. The record is from RefSeq and is a predicted model, not a curated record. The transcript is spliced from 3 exons. Lineage: Eukaryota; Metazoa; Chordata; Amphibia; Anura; Ranidae.